UUGCUUCAGCAGCACAUUUACUAAUAUUAGAAGGAUGCAAAGAAGAUUAGUCUGGCCCCUUUGCAAGGAUGACAAGCAAAUUCAGAAAGCAUUCCAUAUUUUU
This is a small nuclear RNA of Rhinolophus ferrumequinum (greater horseshoe bat), 103 nucleotides long. NCBI's taxonomy places the organism in Eukaryota, Metazoa, Chordata, Mammalia, Chiroptera, Rhinolophidae. The record is from Ensembl.